Molecule: small RNA, 169 nt
Filed under: uncultured Limnobacter sp.
Lineage: Bacteria; Pseudomonadati; Pseudomonadota; Betaproteobacteria; Burkholderiales; Burkholderiaceae
Description: yybP-ykoY manganese riboswitch
Rfam family: Manganese Mn2+ riboswitch aptamer (yybP-ykoY)
About the family: This RNA was originally discovered in E. coli during a large scale screen and was named SraF. The family was later found to exist upstream of related families of protein genes in many bacteria, including the the yybP and ykoK genes in B. subtilis.
Source: RNAcentral
UCAUUGGGGAGUAGCCUCUUUCCGCAAGGAAAGGCUUACGUCAACACACUUGGCCUAUCAUCAUUUACAGGCUAUGGCGUAAGCGGUUCUAGAACUUGGCAAGACCUUUGACUACUCAGCUUCCAGAUCGGCCUGGAGAAGCUGCGUGGUCAUUUGGUUUUUCCAGGCC